AUGUAUGAUCCAGACUCCCGGUCACGCUGCCAGGCAACACCAUCGGUCACCCCUAACGCAAUACAUGUGAACGGAUCACACACCGUCCCAUGUAGAGACAGGUCCUCAUUGAAGAGGCUCCCCUUCACUGGUCCUCGUCCCACUAUACGCUUGAGCUUGAUAUUCGCUUCACGUCUUCGCCCUCGUUACGGACCAGCGGAUGGCUCUCCCCUCCCCCCUUCCCCCGCACCCCAGGCGGUGGCUACGUCGGGCUUGCUCCCCCCUUCUCAGUCUCUGGCGUCCCCGUGUCGCCCCCGUGCGGUCUCGCCCUCGGCCCCUUCUCCCUCUUCGCCGUCCUCUCCGCGCUCAGUCCUGCGGGCUCCUGCCCCCGCUAACAGGUUCUGGGCUCUUGGCUCUGAGGCUUCGGACUCUGACUCUGAUUCCCCUCCCCCUUCCCCUUCUCAUUCGGCGUCUCCGCGCGGUGUGCCUGCUACCCCGGCUCCGGCGCGGCGCCGGAAGUUUGCGCCUGGUGGGCGUGGACGUCCAGCCCCCGUUGAUGGUUGGUCGCGCGUGUCGCGCGGGCGGCGUCGGGCCCCUCCGCCGUCCCCCGAUCAUGGUAUCCUUGGGUCGGGCUGUUGCUCCGCGCAGGCGUCCGAGUCUGGCUCUCCUUCCCCUUCUCCGACGUCUCUCCCCGUCUGUGCGCCGUACGUGGGAGCUUUGGUGGCCUCGCCGCCGGCGGCUGCUCCGCCCGUAACCCUAGAUCUGGGGGGUGCAUCCUCUGGUUCUGCCUGCGCCUGGGCCGUGGGCCUCCGCGUCGCUGGGUGGGCCUGUUGGGUCGGGGGCCCGCCUUGCCCUGGCUUGUGUUUCGGAGUCCCCCCCUUCCCCGUGUGGCUCUUGGGCCUCGGGUGGCCCAGGCCCACCCCCCUCUCCUUCACCAGCCCAACCCACCGGCCCCGCCCUGGCACGGUCCGGCAUCUCUUUUCGACCUUCGUCGUCUCCGCUCCCCCAUUCGUGUCUUUUCCAGAUCUGCUUCUCCCCCUCCCCUCUCUCUCUCUCUCGUUCGCGUGCAUGGUCGCGAUGGAUCGCUCACGCGGGUCCUCCAGCGAGGCCUUGUCUGGCCAAAAGCGGAGGCGGGAGGGCUCGGCGGAGGGUGAGGCCGGUCUGGUGUAUGAGGCUGCCCUCCGCUCCAAGCUUCAGGCGGAGCGUGGCCUUGCGGGGGGGGAGCCUGGUGUCCCUUCUUCCCUUGGAUCUGGCUCGAUGGCGGCCGGUCCUUCGAUUCCGGGUGGAUCCGCGUCGAGUGCCUCAGAUCCUUGGGAGGCGGCGGCCGCGGCGAGUCGGGCUGGCUCUGCUGGCUUGACCUCGCGUCCUCCUCCUCCUCGUGGUGUCCCGGCCCCGGCGCGGGCUCCGGUGCGUGCUCCGGCGGCCCCUAGAGGCGGCCCUGGUCGGUACGGCCCCGGCGGCUCUUUCGGGGCGCCGGACCGUCGUCCCUCCUCCGGUGGUCGUGGUCCUGUUGCUGCGUCUGGUCAUGUUGGUGAUGGUCUGCUUCCUCCGCCUCCCUCCGCUCCGGUACAUGUUCCUCCCCCAACCCAAGUUGCUAAUCCCACACUCACCUGUUUCGUGUGUCACCGUCCUGGGAAUUUCCAAUCUAGAUGCCAAAAUCCCCCCUUUUGUCUGAUCUGCAGAGAGGACGGCCACCUAACUAUUGACUGUCAAAAUCGCAUCAAACCUCCUGCUUUUGUGCAUUAUGGUCUCGGCCUCCCUGGAUGCUCUUUCUUCGCCCUCGACCGUGAGGUUCCCCAUGCGGUUCCGAUCCCUGCCCUAUCCAACUCCGGCAUCAUUACUGUCAAAGAUAAGAAAAUCACUCCCCAGAUCCUUCUUGAUGAGCUUCGCCUAUGGGAUGAUGGGGGUUGGGAUUCGCAGAUCCGCCAACUUUCUGAGUAUGAGUUCGCUGCGUUGUUCCCCUUCAAAGAAAGCCUACGGAUGAUUUCGUCUUGCGCCAGUUUCACUCUUCCUCUAAACCAGUUGGUCAUAUCUGUCAAGGCAGCCUCCAAUGGAUUGAAAGCUAUAUCCUCUCUGACUGACGUUUGGGUCCUAGUCCAUGACGUUCCACCUGCGCUCCGCUCCACCACCUUCCUCAUGGCUUUCGAAUGCGGGUGUGGAGCGUUGACCCUCUUUGCAUCCGUGGCUCUAUUGAUGUCUUCCCCUCCGCUAGUGGUUUCCGUUUCAGGGUUCGGGUGGAGGGCGGCGGCUUCUCCGGGUCGCGCCCGUCCCGCGUCGGUGCGCUCUCCUGCUUCUACGGCCCCCACCUCCACCACCCAGCCUACCUCGGGCGACGGCGACAAGGACAACGACAGUGAUGGCCUCCCAGAUGAUUCUAACCAUGGCAAUGAGCAUCACUUCACCCAAUCUGAAUGGGAUGGGCUGACUUCUGAGGACCGUGAUCUGCUCAAGGAGAAUGCUCCGGUGGGGGGCGGGAACGAGGACGCAUUGGUGGGGGGGUUGCGGCAUCUGGUGGAGCUAGGGGCACCCCCUUCUCUAGUGUUUGCUCCAACAUCCCAGCCCGCCCCGCCUCCCCGUCCCUCUCUGUCUGCGGCGGGGCUUUGUCGCAGGCUUGAUGCUGAUUUGGGCGCGGCCUCGGGCCCCUCGUCGGCGGCGGCUUCUCCGGGUCGCGCCCGUCCCGUGUCGGUGCGCUCUCCUGCUUCUACGGCCCGCAAGAGUGAGCGCAUCUCCAACAGCGGCGAGAGGGUAGCUGAUCGGGCGGCGCGACGCACUGCGGCUAGGGAUCUGCCUCCCUCAGGUACUCCCCAAGGCUCUCCAACUCCCCCCAUUCCUGCUUCUUCUCCUGUUCGUCUAGUUCUUCAGUCGCAGUCCAAUGCUCAUCUUUUGCGUAUCUUAGAGGACGUUGGUAUUUCUUGUGAUCCUAGUUUUGGGUCUCCCUCUUCGUUAUUGGAUAUUAUCCGGGCUAAUGAAGUGGCACAUGCUGAUAUUGCUAGAGCUAAGGAGGCCGCGUCUAGGGCUAACGCCUCACUGGUUGUGGCCGGUGGGGUCGAGGGGGACCUAAAAGGGAUCAGGCUCCCUCCGCUGCGCUCGGCGCGGGGCUGGCAAACGGGUUUCGGUGCUAGGGGGCGCAGGGACCAACUUAAAGAUCUUGUCCGCUCUGAGAACAUAGAUAUCAUUGGCCUUGUUGAAACGCUUAAACCUUCCUUCUCCUCGAACGAACUCUUUGCAGUGGCUGGGAUUGAUAGGUUUGAUUGGAAUCAUUUGCCGUCCUCAGGUCACUCGGGUGGGAUUCUUCUCGGCACUAAAAGAGAUAUGUUCGACUUUGUCGCCUUUGAUUAUGGUAUUUUUUGGGCUAGUACUGUUGUAUCUAACCGCUCCCUCAAUGUACUCUUGGAAGUUAUGGUGGUUUACGGUCCGGCUGACCACUCUCUUUCUCAUAUAUUCUUGGAUGAAAUUCUGAAUAAGAUAGAGUCUUGUGACCUCCCUCUGCUUAUUGGUGGUGACUUUAACCUGAUGCGUUCCCCUCUGGAUAAAAAUUCGCCUAACUUUUCUUGGCCGCUCGCUGAUGCGUUCAACACUUUUAUCAGGGACUCUGCUAUCCAAAAAAUUCAUAGGGUUGGUGCCCGUUACACCUGGACGAAUCACCAAACGGCUCCCAUCCGCUCUGUUCUUGAUCGUGUUUUUAUUUGCCCCAGGUGGGACGCUCUGCUCCCUCGGGCCUCCCUGUGGGCCUUGCCCAUCGUGGGACCUGACCAUGCGCCCUUGAUACUUGACGAUGGGAUUCGAUCUGUUUCUUCUUCGCGUUUUCAGUUUGAUGCGUCUUGGCUCCUGGUUGAUGGUUUUGCUGACCUGAUUGCGAAUAAGAUCUCUUCUUUCCUUUCUUCGACUCGGCGUUCUUUCGGUCCGAUGGACGACUGGCACCAAUGCUCCUAUCUCCUUCGUAAAUUUUUGCGAGGGUGGGCUAUGAACCAUGCUGCCGAGUCAAGGCGCAACAAGGCUCAGUUCGCUGCUCAAAUUGGGUCCUUGGACGCUCACGCGGAUGGCUCUGGCCUCUCUCCCUCUGAAUCGCAGGCCAGGUACGAUUUAGAAGAGGCCUUGUUGGCCUUGCACCGGCAAGAGGAAGUUUAUUGGAAGCAAAGGGGCACCAUUAACUGGACUCUAAAGGGCGAUUUCCCUACUUCGUACUUCUUCGCCAUAGCCAACGGCAGGCGUCGUCGUUGCAUGAUCGAUAGCCUGCUUAUUAACAAUGUUAGGGUCUCUGAUCCCUCCCAAAUUAUGUCACACGUGGUUAACUUCUUGUCCUCUCUGUUCUCUCCUAAGCCUGAGGUAGGCUUUAGAUUGGCCAAUUCUUUCUGGGCCUCUCAGGAUCAGGUUUCGAGUGAGGAUAACGACGCCUUGCUGAUUCCCCCUUCUGAUGAGGAGAUUUUCGAUACGAUACGCACAUCCAAUUCAAAUGCGGCACCAGGCCCUGAUGGUUUCUCCAUUCCCUUCUUUAGGCAAUUCUGGCCUCAGCUGCGGGAUCUUGUCCACGCUAUCAUUCAAGGCCUCUGGCUGGGGACCGUUGAUAUUUCUCGUCUAAACUAUACUGUGCUUACUCUUAUUCCUAAAGUCAAAGGGGCUGACUUGAUUACCCAGUUUAGGCCUAUAGCCUUGAUCAAUAAUUUCGCGAAGCUUCCGGCUAAAGGCUUUGCCACUAGGCUAUCCCCCAUUGCCCACCGCUCCCUUAGCCCGUUCCAAACAGCUUUCAUUAAGGCAUGUUCAUUCUGGAUGGUAUUCUCUAUCUUCAUGAGAUCAUUCAUGAUCUGCGAGCCCGUGGCUCCAAAGCGUUGGUCACGGGUGGCCACACUGCGGUUUCGGUCAAUGGUAAGGGUUGUCACAGCCGGGCACAUUACUCCUGUCAGCUCUCACCUUGUUCCUAACGGCAUUUCUCACCUACAAUAUGCGGACGAUACCAUCAUUACGGUUGAGUUAAAUGAGGAGUGCAUUACCCACCUAAAAUUAUUCCUCCUUUGCUUCGAAGCGUUGUCUGGUCUCAAAAUCAAUUUCGCCAAGAGUGAAGUAAUUGUUACCGGGGUCUCGGAUGUUGAGGCCCAAAGAGUUGCUCACCUCCUUAACUGCUCUCUAGGAUCCUUUCCUUUCAAAUACCUUGGCAUCCCAAUCUCUCCCAUCAAACUCUUGGCUAGAGACUUUGCUCCGGCUGUCACUAAGGUGGGAAAUCGGGUCUUACCUUGGAGAGGUCGGUACAAUACCCAAGCGGGCAAGGUUGCCCUUACCAAUGCUGGCCUCUCUUCCCUCCCAAUCUUCCUGAUGGGAUUCUAUCUUCUCUCUGGAGGAAUCCAUGUUGGCUUCGACAAGCACAUGAGUGCCUUUUAUUGGAAUUCGGCUGAUAAUAAAUGCAAAUAUAGGAUGAGCCCUUUCUGGCUAACCAUCCUCAAGGCUAAGUACUUUCCGGGCUCGAGCCCCAUGUUUGCUUCACCUGCUGUUAGAAAUGGUAAGUCUACUCGUUUCUGGUUAGACUGGCGGUACGGGGAGUCCACCCUCGCAGUGGCUUUCCCGGCUCUUUUCUCUUACUGCCAUAAUCCAGAGAUCUCUAUCUUAGAGCUCUCUCUAAAUAACUGGGACCUAGACCUCCGCAGGACGCUCUCUCCUGUAGAGUUGGAAGACUGGCAUCGCCUCACUGCUUGCUUCCCCUUGCUCUCAGAGGAAGAGGACUCGGUCAUCUGGCCCCAUUCUUCUUCUAGUCGCUUUUCGGUCAAGUCGGUCUAUGCUAAAAUUAUCUCUGGCUCUCCCACGUCUAAAUUCAAUUGCAUUUGGAGAGCUCGUAUCCCCCCUACGAUCAAGAUUUUCUUGUGGCAAGCUUUCCGUGGGAAACUUCCCGCGGCGGAUCAAAUUCGGAAAAGGAAUGGUCCGGGCUCUGACAGAUGCGCUUUAUGUGGGGCCAUCGAAAACACUGACCAUAUUUUCUUUCAUUGUUCUCUGGCUAAAUUCGUGUGGAGCUAUAUUCGAUUUUGGUUGCAAGUGAACUGGAACCCGUCGUCCUUCAUGGACUUGAGGCGGCUUUCCAGUGGCUUAUCUGGCUCCUCUAAAAGGAUUUUCUGGGUGAGGUUUGUGGCGAUCUGUUGGUCGUUGUGGACCAUUCGCAACAAAUUUACCAUCGAGCUUUCCUUCCAGGCUAAUCCUCUGAGUUGCUUAUUUAAAACUGGUGUAUUCCUGCAGCAGUGGAGAUUAUUGAUUAAGUCCUUGGUGCAGCGGAUUCGCACUUUCUUGAUGAUGUACAAACAGUUUCAUGGUUGGAGCUACCUUGCUGACUGGGGACUCUGCUCUGGUGUGGGAGGCAUCGGAGGCACCUUCCACACCGGCAUAGUGAUGGCGGCGUCGUUGUCAUGGAAGUGCAGGACCUUUGGAAGCUCCUGGAGAUGUACCUUUGCGUACCAGAGUGGUUGA
RNAcentral lists this ribosomal RNA (6423 nucleotides) under Triticum aestivum (bread wheat). RNAcentral's name for it is "partial small subunit ribosomal RNA". Lineage: Eukaryota; Viridiplantae; Streptophyta; Magnoliopsida; Poales; Poaceae. The record is from RNAcentral.